CCUCCAUCACUAUGAUCUUCAACCAAAGUUACAAUCCUCCUAUUUGGACAAUCCGAAGCAAUAUGCCCAAAACCAUGACAUUUGAAGCAUUUUCGGCCACUUGGGGUAGAAGAAUUAGGUGUUUUUUUGUUGCCAGCAGACUCUUCACCCUUUUCUUGCACCUUCGAUAUCACCUUGCUUUGGACAGUAGGCUUGGAACUUCCUCC
RNAcentral lists this long non-coding RNA (206 nucleotides) under Musa acuminata (dwarf banana). RNAcentral describes it as "long non-coding RNA (MACU_LNC011452)". The record is from RNAcentral. Lineage: Eukaryota; Viridiplantae; Streptophyta; Magnoliopsida; Zingiberales; Musaceae.